This 253-nucleotide ribosomal RNA is filed under the name uncultured bacterium. RNAcentral describes it as "partial 16S ribosomal RNA". It matches the Rfam family "Bacterial small subunit ribosomal RNA", at positions 524 to 776 of the family's 1533-position model. The record is from RNAcentral.
UACAGAGGUCUCAAGCGUUGUUCGGAUUCAUUGGGCGUAAAGGGUGCGUAGGCGGCGCGGUAAGUCGGGUGUGAAAUCUCGGAGCUUAACUCCGAAACUGCAUUCGAUACUGCAGUGCUUGAGGACUGGAGAGGAGACUGGAAUUUACGGUGUAGCGGUGAAAUGCGUAGAUAUCGUAAGGAAGACCAGUGGCGAAGGCGGGUCUCUGGGACGGUACUGACGCUGAGACGCGAAAGCGUGGGGAGCGAACAGG